RNAcentral lists this ribosomal RNA (234 nucleotides) under uncultured Lactobacillus sp. RNAcentral's name for it is "partial 16S ribosomal RNA". It matches the Rfam family "Bacterial small subunit ribosomal RNA", at positions 128 to 354 of the family's 1533-position model. The record is from RNAcentral. Lineage: Bacteria; Bacillati; Bacillota; Bacilli; Lactobacillales; Lactobacillaceae.
GCCCAAGAGAUCGGGAUAACACCUGGAAACAGAUGCUAAUACCGGAUAACAACAGAUGAUGCCUAUCAACUGUUUAAAAGAUGGUUCUGCUAUCACUCUUGGAUGGACCUGCGGUGCAUUAGCUAGUUGGUAGGGUAACGGCCUACCAAGGCGAUGAUGCAUAGCCGAGUUGAGAGACUGAUCGGCCACAUUGGGACUGAGACACGGCCCAAACUCCUACGGGAGGCAGCAGGC